CUAAGGCCAACGGGAGAAGGGUUGUUAAGGAACUCGGCAAAUUGACCCCGUAACUUCGGGAGAAGGGGUGCUCCAGAGAUGGAGCCGCAGAGAAUCGGCCCAAGCAACUGUUUACCAAAAACACAGGUUUGUGCUAAAUCGAAAGAUGACGUAUACGAGCUGACGCCUGCCCGGUGCUGGAAGGUUAAGAGGAGAUGUGCAAGCAUUGAAUCGAAGCCCCAGUGAACGGCGGCCGUAACUAUAACGGUCCUAAGGUAGCGAAAUUCCUUGUCAGGUAAGUUCUGACCCGCAUGAAAGGCGUAAUGAUUUGGGCACUGUCUCAACAGCCCGCCCGGCGAAAUUGUAGUACCGGUGAAGAUGCCGGUUACCCGCGACAAGACGGAAAGACCCCAUGGAGCUUUACUGUAGCCUAAUAUUGGGUUUCGAUGUUGCAUGCACAGGAUAGAUGGGACACAGGGAAACAAUCGCUUUGGCGGUUGCGGAGUGGCCGUUGGGAUACCAUCCUUGCGAUAUUGGAAUUCUAACCUGCGGCUCUGAAUCGAGUCGGGGGACAUUGUUAGGUGGGCAGUUUGACUGGGGCGGUCGCCUCCUAAAAAGUAACGGAGGCGUUCAAAGGUUCGCUCAGCUUGAACGGAAAUCAAGCAAAAGAGUGCAAACGCAGAAGCGAGCCUAACUGCGAGACUGACGGGUCGAGCAGUAACGAAAGUUGGAGUUAGUGAUCCGGUGGUAUGUGAGUGGAAAUGCCAUCGCUCAACGGAUAAAAGUUACCCUGGGGAUAACAGGCUGAUCUCCCCCAAGAGUCCACAUCGACGGGGAGGUUUGGCACCUCGAUGUCGGCUCAUCGCAUCCUGGGGCUGUAUUCGGUCCCAAGGGUUUGGCUGUUCGCCAAUUAAAGCGGUACGCGAGCUGGGUUCAGAACGUCGUGAGACAGUUCGGUCCCUAUCUGUCGUGGGCGCAGGAUAUUUGAUGGGAGCUGUCCCUAGUACGAGAGGACCGGGACGGACGUACCUCUGGCGCACCAGUUGUUCCGCCAGGAGCAUAGCUGGGCAACUACGUACGGAUCGGAUAAACGCUGAAAGCAUCUAAGCGUGAAGCCGACCCAAAGAUAAGAUAUCCCACUGAUUUGAUCAGGUAAGAUCCCUUGAAGACUACAAGGUUGAUAGGCACGAUGUGUAAGUGGAGUGAUCCAUUCAGCAAGAGUGUACUAAUAGAUCGAGGGUUUGACCAC
RNAcentral lists this ribosomal RNA (1228 nucleotides) under human gut metagenome. RNAcentral describes it as "bacterial LSU rRNA". It matches the Rfam family "Bacterial large subunit ribosomal RNA", at positions 1681 to 2925 of the family's 2925-position model. The record is from RNAcentral.